This 277-nucleotide ribosomal RNA is filed under the name uncultured Pseudomonas sp. Its description in RNAcentral is "partial 16S ribosomal RNA". It matches the Rfam family "Bacterial small subunit ribosomal RNA", at positions 1107 to 1382 of the family's 1533-position model. Lineage: Bacteria; Pseudomonadati; Pseudomonadota; Gammaproteobacteria; Pseudomonadales; Pseudomonadaceae. The record is from RNAcentral.
GUCCUAGUUACCAGCACGUUAUGGUGGGCGACUCUAAGGAGACUGCCGGUGGACAAACCGGAGGAAGGUGGGGAUGACGUCAAGUCAUCAUGGCCCUUACGGCCUGGGCUACACACGUGCUACAAUGGUCGGUACAAAGGGUUGCCAAGCCGCGAGGUGGAGCUAAUCCCAUAAAACCGAUCGUAGUCCGGAUCGCAGUCUGCAACUCGACUGCGUGAAGUCGGAAUCGCUAGUAAUCGUGAAUCAGAAUGUCACGGUGAAUACGUUCCCGGGCCUU